RNAcentral lists this ribosomal RNA (486 nucleotides) under Myadora brevis. RNAcentral's name for it is "partial 16S ribosomal RNA". It matches the Rfam family "Bacterial large subunit ribosomal RNA", at positions 1817 to 2600 of the family's 2925-position model. Lineage: Eukaryota; Metazoa; Mollusca; Bivalvia; Myochamidae. The record is from RNAcentral.
GGCCCCUUGAAUUUUAAAAUAUAGGGGGUCGGGCCUGCCCGGUGAAGUAUUUCUUUAAACGGCCGCUGUAAUGGGUGCGAAGGUAGCAUAAUCUCUUGCCCUUUAAUUGGGGGAUUGUUGAAUGGUUUGACGAGGGUCCUUCUGUCUCAUAUUAAAAUAAUGAAAUUAACUUUUAAGUGAAAAGGCUUAAAUGUAAGGGUUAGACGAGAAGACCCCGUGGAGUUUUGCUAUGUUUUUAAUUUUUGAAGUUAAAUAACAUAGAUUUGGUUGGGGCAACAGAGGAGUAAAAAAAACCUCCAUCUUUACUAAUAACUUAUAGGAUCCGCUAGUGGGCGAUUAAAAGGAAAGUUACCCCGGGGAUAACAGCGUAAUCUUUUUUGAGAGUUCUUAUCGAAAAAAGGGUUUGCGACCUCGAUGUUGGAUUAGGACAUCCUCAGGGUGCAGCAGCUCUGAAAGGUGGGUCUGUUCGACCUUUAAAGUCCUACA